This 884-nucleotide long non-coding RNA is filed under the name Prunus persica (peach). Its description in RNAcentral is "long non-coding RNA (PPER_LNC005353)". The record is from RNAcentral. Lineage: Eukaryota; Viridiplantae; Streptophyta; Magnoliopsida; Rosales; Rosaceae.
AAAAAUCCAAUAAAAAAAUAUCCUUCAACCAAUCAAGUAUAAUAUGAAUCAAAUUUGUCAAUCCAGAGAGAGAGAGAGGGGAAUAAUAGGCAUUACUUAUUUCAUGCGAAAAAAAGAAAGAAAAAAAAGAUAAUAUUAAUGUCCUCUUAAUUUAUCCAAUAGAUAAAGGUUUUAUUUAUUAUUAUUAUUAUUAUUAUUUGCUACAGGUCUAGCAAGGCAACACGCACACACAAAAAUAUAUUUCAUUUGGAGUGGGUGGUCUUCCCUCGCAAAUUGACACACUGUUGGGCUCAGCCAGCGAACAUCUUACGCUGCAUUCAUCUUCCUUUCCUAGCCGGAGUGGCCCUCUUGGCUUGGGGCAAUAUGAACCAUAUAUAAUCUUUCUGCAGCUGGGAUCAGCCGACGUCACCCCUUCAAAAACAAAACAAUCAAAUUUUCAAAAGUACAAUGACAUUUUCGACAUUUUUUAUUUAAAUUUUUAGUAAAAGCAAUUGGGGAGAGGUGUUUGUACAAAUGAAUUGGGUGCCUCGGGGUUUCAAAUCUCUACCCACAUAAAUAGAAGUGAAAGAAUUCAACCAACUGAGCUAUAUCCCGCAUCCACAUUCAUAUUUAUCAAACAAGACAUUGUCAUGCAUCUGCCACAUUAUAUAGAGACUAAAAUUUGGGUCCACUCGAAAUCUCAUUCAUGCUUACCGUUUGAGUUAUUUUCUUUGACAAUCGCUUUCGUGAACAUAGCUGACGAAAAAACAAAAUCUUGAGUUAGUUAUGCCAGUUGAUAUACGUAGAGAUUUACAAUGAGAUGUUGAAAGUAUAUAUAUAUAUAUAUAUAUAUAUAUAUACCUGAACCAAGAAGAACAAGGAUGAUAAAAAAGUUGAGUUGCGGC